This 421-nucleotide ribosomal RNA is filed under the name uncultured archaeon. RNAcentral describes it as "partial 16S ribosomal RNA". It matches the Rfam family "Archaeal small subunit ribosomal RNA", at positions 323 to 746 of the family's 1478-position model. The record is from RNAcentral.
CUACGGGAGGCUCCAGGCGAGAAAACUUUGCAAUGUGCGAAAGCACGACAAGGUUAAUCCGAGUGGUUUGUGCUAAACGAACCUUUUGACAGUCCUAGAAACACUGUUGAAUAAGGGGUGGGCAAGUUCUGGUGUCAGCCGCCGCGGUAAAACCAGCACCUCAAGUGGUCAGGAUGAUUAUUGGGCCUAAAGCAUCCGUAGCCGGCUCUGUAAGUUUUCGGUUAAAUCUGUACGCUCAACGUACAGGCUGCCGGGAAUACUGCAGAGCUAGGGAGGGGGAGAGGUAGACGGUACUCGGUAGGAAGGGGUAAAAUCCUUUGAUCUAUUGAUGACCACCUGUGGCGAAGGCGGUCUACCAGAACACGUCCGACGGUGAGGGAUGAAAGCUGGGGGAGCAAACCGGAUUAAUACCCUAGUAGUC